GGUAAUACGGGGGAUGCAAGCGUUAUCCGGAAUCAUUGGGCGUAAAGCGCCUGUAGGUUGUUUAAUAAGUCUGUUGUUAAAGACUGGGGCUUAACCCCAGGAAAGCAAUGGAAACUACUAGACUAGAGUAUGGUAGGGGUAAAGGGAAUUUCUAGUGUAGCGGUGAAAUGCGUAGAUAUUAGAAAGAACACCGGUGGCGAAAGCGCUUUACUGGACCAUUACUGACACUCAGAGGCGAAAGCUAGGGUAGCCAAAGGGAUUAGAUACCCCUGUAGUCCUAGCCGUAAACGAUGGAUACUAGAUGUUGCGCUUAUUGUGCAGUGUCGUAGCUAACGCGUUAAGUAUCCCGCCUGGGGAGUACGAUCGCAAGGUUGAAACUCAAAGGAAUUGACGGGGGCCCGCACAAGCGGUGGAGCAUGUGGUUUAAUUCGAUGCAACGCGAAGAACCUUACCAGGGCUUGACAUACUGCAAAUUUUCUUGAAAGAGAAAGGUGCCUUCGGGAAUGCAGAUACAGGUGGUGCAUGGCUGUCGUCAGCUCGUGUCGUGAGAUGUUGGGUUAAGUCCCGCAACGAGCGCAACCCUCGUUUUUAGUUGCCAUUUUAUGGGUUCUCUAGAAAGACUGCCGGUGACAAACCGGAGGAAGGUGGGGAUGACGUCAAGUCAGCAUGCCCCUUAUGCCCUGGGCUACACACGUGCUACAAUGGCUAAGACAAAGAGUCGCGAAUUCGCGAGAAUCAGCUA
RNAcentral lists this ribosomal RNA (742 nucleotides) under uncultured phototrophic eukaryote. Its description in RNAcentral is "bacterial SSU rRNA". It matches the Rfam family "Bacterial small subunit ribosomal RNA", at positions 519 to 1270 of the family's 1533-position model. The record is from RNAcentral.